Molecule: ribosomal RNA, 510 nt
Filed under: uncultured bacterium
Lineage: Bacteria
Description: bacterial SSU rRNA
Rfam family: Bacterial small subunit ribosomal RNA
Source: RNAcentral
UCUGGCUCAGGAUGAACGCUAGCUACAGGCUUAACACAUGCAAGUCGAGGGGCAGCAUGAGCUAGCUUGCUAAGCUGAUGGCGACCGGCGCACGGGUGAGUAACGCGUAUCCAACCUUCCCCUUAGUAGGGCAUAGCCCGGUGAAAAUCGGAUUAAUACCCUAUGUUCUUCACAGCGGACAUCUAACGUGAAGCAAAGGUUCACCGCUAAGGGAUGGGGAUGCGUCUGAUUAGGUAGUCGGCGGGGUAACGGCCCACCGAGCCAUCGAUCAGUAGGGGUUCUGAGAGGAAGGUCCCCCACAUUGGAACUGAGACACGGUCCAAACUCCUACGGGAGGCAGCAGUGAGGAAUAUUGGUCAAUGGUCGAGAGACUGAACCAGCCAAGUAGCGUGCCAGGAUGACGGCCCUAUGGGUUGUAAACUGCUUUUAUGCGGGGAUAAAGUCACCCACGUGUGGGUGUUUGCAGGUACCGCAUGAAUAAGGACCGGCUAAUUCCGUGCCAGCAGCCGC